This 1165-nucleotide long non-coding RNA is filed under the name Ovis aries (sheep). RNAcentral describes it as "lncRNA (ENSOARG00000025559.1)". Lineage: Eukaryota; Metazoa; Chordata; Mammalia; Artiodactyla; Bovidae. The record is from RNAcentral.
AUGAAUCACCCCCCGCCCGCCGCUGGGGUGACGCAGCGGUCUGGGCAGCCCGCCUGCCCGCCCGCGGCCACCACCGACUUUCCCAGCAGCAGGGGGCAAGGGGUGGGGGCGUCGGCUCCCGUAGAGGCUGGAGGCCUGGAAAGCAGCCAUCCUCCCCCAACACCGCCUCCUACAGGCAGGGCACCCCGAGGCGCUGUCUGGGCUGCAACCUCCCAGAUGCUUAAGGUCGAGAGACCUCCUGGAGAGGACUGGAACUUCAAGUCCCCGCCCAAACCCGAGGCCACUGCGGGACCCGAGCACGGCGGCCCCUCGCCCCAACUCGCCCCGCGACGGCCAGUCCCCAGAAAAACGAGCUUCAGAAACGAAGAGGGCAGGCAGCACCCACACGUGCUCCUGCAACCAGGAAGUGAAGGGUCGCCUGGGAAGCCCCGGCGGCGCGGAGCUGGCCAAGGGUGGGCGCCGGGACCCUGUACCCUGCAUCACUCUGGGCCAGCCGUAUCCCCCCUGCCCCCCCCCAGCGAGACCCGGGACUGGAGCCGGCGGGCGGAGCGCAGUCCCAGAGUCUCCGAUCCCAACGAACGCCCCGUCAAUGCACUAGCAACACCGCCUGACCUCAUCGCUCAACAAUGCAGGGGUCAGAGCCUGGGGACGGACCUGACAGCCCAGGGCGGGGCAGGGCAGUCAACGGACCCUUGCCUGCCAGCCCUCGAUCCGCAAGCCCGCUGGAGCAAGCCGCAAGCUCGGGAUUCUUCCUUUCUGGAGACCGCGCACAUCCCACGCCCUCAAGGACCCUUCCCUCCAGCUUACGGUUCACGUGCAGAAAAGGAAGGUGCUCACAGAAGGCAGAAGGAAGCCAAGGAAGCGGAGGCACUUACUGGAGAGCUGACUUUCCAGCGGGAGAGAAGAUAAGAGGUGGAUCUGCAAGAAUAAGAGGACAAGAGGUUCUCACCAGAAGUGGAGACGUUGGCUGUGUUGCUGGGAUCACUGACAUAGCUACCAGAGAAGGCCACGAGGCGGAAUUCGUAGAGAACAUCCUGGGGAUGGGGGUCCAAGAAGGGGGUCAAAGCUCAGCACUGCUCACCCCAAGCCCAUUUGGAAAGACUUUGCAGUUGGAAGGUACGGGUGAAGUAGAAAGCCAAGCGGAGGUGAGGAUGGUCAAAUCAGG